GACGAACGCUGGCGGCGUGCUUAACACAUGCAAGUCGAACGGAAAGGCCCAGCUUGCUGGGUACUCGAGUGGCGAACGGGUGAGUAACACGUGGGUGAUCUGCCCUGGACUCUGGGAUAAGCCUGGGAAACUGGGUCUAAUACCGGAUAUGACCUUACAUCGCAUGGUGUUUGGUGGAAAGCUUUUGCGGUUCAGGAUGGGCCCGCGGCCUAUCAGCUUGUUGGUGGGGUACUGGCCUACCAAGGCGACGACGGGUAGCCGACCUGAGAGGGUGAUAGGCCACACUGGGACGGAGAAACGGCCCAGACUCCUACGGGAGGAAGCAGUGGGGAAUAUUGCACAAUGGGCGCAAGCCUGAUGCAGCGACGCCGCGUGAGGGAUGACGGCCUUCGGGUUGUAAACCUCUUUCACCAGGGACGAAGCGUGAGUGACGGUACCUGGAGAAGAAGCACCGGCCAACUACGU
Molecule: ribosomal RNA, 465 nt
Filed under: uncultured bacterium
Lineage: Bacteria
Description: partial 16S ribosomal RNA
Rfam family: Bacterial small subunit ribosomal RNA
Source: RNAcentral